UCUAGAGUUGUAGGCUUUGCCUGCUAUCUCUUCGUAGGUCUUUUGAGUACCUUCGUUUUCCGUUCAGCGGGGUCCGCCCGCCGAUUGGACAUAUUAAAAACCAUUUGCAGUUGCAAUCAGCGUCUGAAAAACAACUUAUAGUUUAC
RNAcentral lists this unclassified non-coding RNA (146 nucleotides) under soil metagenome. RNAcentral's name for it is "partial internal transcribed spacer 1". The record is from RNAcentral.